GAUGAACGCUGGCGGCGUGCCUAAUACAUGCAAGUCGAGCGAACGGACGAGAAGCUUGCUUCUCUGAUGUUAGCGGCGGACGGGUGAGUAACACGUGGAUAACCUACCUAUAAGACUGGGAUAACUUCGGGAAACCGGAGCUAAUACCGGAUAAUAUUUUGAACCGCAUGGUUCAAAAGUGAAAGACGGUCUUGCUGUCACUUAUAGAUGGAUCCGCGCUGCAUUAGCUAGUUGGUAAGGUAACGGCUUACCAAGGCAACGAUGCAUAGCCGACCUGAGAGGGUGAUCGGCCACACUGGAGCUGAGACACGGUCCAGGCUCCUACGGGAGGCAGCAGUAUGGAAUCUUCCGCAAUAGGCGAAAGCCUGACGGAGCAACGCCGCGUGAGUUAUGAAGGUCUUCGGAUCGUAAUACUCUGUUAUUAGGGAAGAACAUAUGUGUAAGUAGCUGUGCACAUCGUGACGGUACCGAAUCAGAAAGCCCCGGCUAACUACGUG
RNAcentral lists this ribosomal RNA (497 nucleotides) under uncultured bacterium. RNAcentral describes it as "partial 16S ribosomal RNA". It matches the Rfam family "Bacterial small subunit ribosomal RNA", at positions 28 to 507 of the family's 1533-position model. The record is from RNAcentral.